CCUGCUAAAUAGAACACUCGGCUUUGGCUGGGUGCUUUCUUCUUAGAGGGACAAUUGGUUUCAAGCCAAUGGAAGUUAGGCAAUAACAGGUCUGUGAUGCCCUUAGAUGUUCUGGGCCGCACGCGCGCUACACUGACAGAGCCAGCGAGUAUACUUUUCCUUGGCCGGAAGGCCUG
This 176-nucleotide ribosomal RNA is filed under the name Bensingtonia sp. Its description in RNAcentral is "partial small subunit ribosomal RNA". It matches the Rfam family "Eukaryotic small subunit ribosomal RNA", at positions 1347 to 1544 of the family's 1831-position model. The record is from RNAcentral. Lineage: Eukaryota; Fungi; Basidiomycota; Agaricostilbomycetes; Agaricostilbales; Kondoaceae.